This 492-nucleotide ribosomal RNA is filed under the name uncultured bacterium. RNAcentral's name for it is "partial 16S ribosomal RNA". It matches the Rfam family "Bacterial small subunit ribosomal RNA", at positions 32 to 507 of the family's 1533-position model. The record is from RNAcentral.
AGUCAACGCUGGCGGUAGGCCUAACACAUGCAAGUCGAACGGCAGCACAGUAAGAGCUUGCUCUUACGGGUGGCGAGUGGCGGACGGGUGAGGAAUACAUCGGAAUCUACUUUUUCGUGGGGGAUAACGUAGGGAAACUUACGCUAAUACCGCAUACGACCUACGGGUGAAAGCAGGGGAUCUUCGGACCUUGCGCGAUUGAAUGAGCCGAUGUCGGAUUAGCUAGUUGGCGGGGUAAAGGCCCACCAAGGCGACGAUCCGUAGCUGGUCUGAGAGGAUGAUCAGCCACACUGGAACGGGGACACGGUCCAGACUCCUACGGGAGGCAGCAGUGGGGAAUAUUGGACAAUGGGCGCAAGCCUGAUCCAGCCAUACCGCGUGGGUGAAGAAGGCCUUCGGGUUGUAAAGACCUUUUGUUGGGAAAGGAAAGCAGCAGGUUAAUACCCCGCUGUUCUGACGGUACCCAAAGAAUAAGCACCGGCUAACUUCGUG